UAUAUUUUUUCUAUUUCCGAAGUGUCACCACCUCUCUUUUACUCUCAUUAUUUACAAGCAUCAGGUUGACGCGUACCCGACCAGCCGCUAGUAGACGGUAUUUUCGGUCAACAAUUGCAAAACCCUAGAAUGCAUUUUUAAGCUGCAGACACACACCAAAGUUAGUUCCGUCUAUAUGAAUAGCGAACCAAAUUAUACUCGUAAAUCUCUCUCGCGGGGGAAGUGAUGAGCAACUUCAUACAGGUAUGUCAUAAUUCAUAUAUAUAUAUUUAUGUAUGUAUGUAUUUGUGUAUAUUUUGCCUCUCCUUUCAGCUGCAAAGGCAUAGAUCUGAUGAUCUGUUUAUUGAUGGCUUUGUUCUGGAGGCAUAUAUUUAAUCUCCAAAGUUUUAGGGGUUUAGUUUAAACCAAGGGCGGAUCUAGGAUUUCUCAAUGAUUUUUUUUUAGUUCUGAAAAGAUUUCCAUCUUCAAAAAGUUUUAGGCAUAGAUCUGAUGAUCUUUUUCUUGAUGGCUUUGUUCUGGAGGCAUAUAUCAAUGAUCUAGGCAUGUUGACAAAAAUUGUUUCAGAUUCAAUCUCUGCUGAUUUCUAAUCCAAUAUUUUUUUUUUUCAUGCCCAGAUUCAAAUUUUCUUAUAGACAUAAUUGACCAAAAAAUAUAUAUAUAUAUAGAAAUAAAAAUAUAUAUAUUUGUUUUGCUGAAAUAAAAUGUAGAUGACGGUGAUUACCUCAAAAUGCAAUGCAAAUUUUGUUCCUUUAUAUUGUAAUAUAUAUAUAUAUAAAAGAUCAUAAAAAAUUUCACCAAAUAGGAUUUAGUUUGCAAAACAAGAAUUACAGACCUUGAUUAGUUGAUUUAGAAAAAAUUUUGAAACAAAACCCAUACAUACAGAACUGGAACAGCGGGCGAUGGAAUUUUGAACUUUUGAUUCUUGCAGACAGAUGGAUAAACUGAAAUAUAUGGGUUUUGAACUUCUGAUUCUUGUAGAUUUUUUAGUUUGCAAGUUCAGAGUUGAGAACGAGAAUAGAGAUGGAGGCGAUUGGGGAGGCUGAAAUGAUUUGCCCUAAAAUAAUUUUUUUUUCUCUGGUGGCCCAUCAUACAUGGGCCUAUAAAUUUGGAGGCCCCAUGAAUUCGCAAGCUUCAGCCACUGGCCCGUGUCUCUCAACUCUCAAGCUUGCUCCCCUCUCUCUCUAUCUGCAACUGCUAACUUGUAUGUAUGGGUUUUGUUUUAAUAAUGGGGUGACUGAGUUGACUUGGGCUCGAUUGGGUGGGCUAAUACUAUUAAUAAAUUUUUUGUUUUUGGGCUGGGCUACAAUAAGUAUAGUAAAUAUUUUUUUUUAAGGUCCGCCCUUGGUUUAAACUAGGAGUUGUGGUUUUUGCUACUCUGUUCUCCCCUUAUUUGGUACAUUUCCAUUAGAAAAUUAAUUUAUCUUGCUUUUCUAUAGUAGCUUUGUGCUCCGAUAUUGACAUUGCAUGAAAUUAAUAUUUAUACUAAUUUUAUAUCUAAACAGAGUUGGUUUGCUUGUUUUAGAUUGUCUUCUUGGCAACCAUACAAAUUAUCUUUUGUCUUGAUGUCUUCCCUAAAACAUUUUUGUUUUUCAUAAGUUGAUAUAUUUGCAGCAUUAGUUUUGAUUGCGUUGGAUCUAGUAAUUUUGAUUAAUGGAGGUCUUGGGAGUUGGGACAGGCAAAAGAGACACUUGCUGCGGCAUGUAAUUUUGAUUAUGUUUUUAUUAUUCAAGGUUGUGACAUUUAGGCAAAGCAUGUAUUAAAGAUAAUUUUGAUUAUGUUUUUAUUAUUCAUGGUUGUGACAUUUAGGCAAAGCAUGUAGUAAAGAUUGCAUUGUUACUUUUUUGUUUAUAGAGAAAUGGUAGGCGCUGUUGUUUGGCAACUGUGGUAGCAACUUGUUGCACAAGUGAAUGGAAGCUUUACACUAUUUGAGUAGUUUAUUGUAAACAAAAAAUUAAACUGAGAUUCCCUUUCAUGUUGUUCUUAGGUGGUUUGGGACCAUGUGAUCUUUGUCAAUCACAAAAUACACCAAAUGUGUCUGUAUUAUGUGAUUGGCCGGGACCAUAUGAUUAAGGACUACCUAAUACUUUAUAGAUCCUCAAUAUCUUUAUAUGUGAAACUUUUUCAAGAUCUACACAUGGCAUUUAAUGUGAUAAAUUAACUGAAAUUCUAGCAAGGAAAGUGAUUCUUAGUGUUAUGCCAAUUUGUCUAACUUAAGGAUUCUUAUCCCUUUGAUGUAGUAGAUAAGAUCCACAUUUGAGUUUAUCCACCAUAUCAAAGGGAUAAAAACUCCAGGCUUGACAGUUGAGCCUAACAAAUAGGCGUGAGUAUCAUAGUGUUCUAGCAAAGCUUGUCCCAUUAUCAAUAAUCAACUUCACUUAUUUUUCAUUACAGUCAUACAAGAAAAGUACUAAAACACUAACAAAAAUAAUAAUAAAAUUAAUGUUACCAUUAUUAACAGUAGCGUAGAGUGGAUAGAUAAUAAAGCAAAUGAGUAAUUAAAUCCAACAGUGCACAAAUAUUCUAGGAAUAAUGACUUUUUUUAAUUUGUAUUGUUUUUGAAGUCAGACACUUUAGGCAAUUAUUUGCAAACUUCUUUGACUCUAUUCUACUAAUAGGUAGUACACCCACAUUAAAAUAAAUGAUCAUAAUUCCUUAAAAUAACAUUAAAUGCCAUGCACUCCUACAUUAAAAGAAAUUAUCAUAAUUUCUGAAAGUGUGUUGAGCUAUCCUUUACAACAUCUAUAAUGGUGGAAGUAUAGUAAAUUUGUCAAAUUGAAAGGGCAUGUCAAUUUUUUACUUUUGUUUUAUUCAUAAACUCAAAGUAAGGUGCUUGUGUUCUUAACUGGUGCUGCCAGUGUUGGCUAGCAUUUCUCUUAUUUAAAUAAUACAAAAUUCUAUGAACAUCUUUCCCUUAUUUUUAGAUUUGUGCAUUCCUUGAUAUUGUGGAUUUUAAUUCUUUUUAAACAUAUAAUCAAAGUCACUACUUAAAUUGCUUUUUUCGACAUUAAAAAAGGAUCAAGAUACAUAAAGUUGAAAAUCCUCGAAAUUACCUUAAGCUGAAUCGUUGUGUUUAUCCAUUAUCCAUUUAUUCUUAAUGUUGUUGUGACACAAUGCCUCUCCUUUCGGCUGCAAGGACAGAGAUCUGAGUAGGAUCAAUUUAUUGAUAGCUUUGUUCUGAAGGCAUAUAUUUGUCUCAUGCAAAGUCUUGGGGGUUUGAUCUUAUCUGGAGUAUGUGACCUUCCUUUUGUGGCUCCUCUUUCUUUGUCAAGUUUUUUAAUAGAUACAUGUUUCUCUUCUUCUUUUAUUUAUUUAUUUAUUUUUAUUAGAGAAAUGUUGAUAAUUUUUAGUUAAAACAUUUCUAUAUGUCUAGAUUCUACUCAUAGUUACUGAAAAGUUGAGGAAUAUGAGAUCUUGAAGCUUUAGUAUGUCAAGUAAGUUAGUAUGCAAAGUUGUCCUUAGUUUUGGAUAAUAUGAUUUGAUGUUGGUUUUGGAGGAUAUAAUACUGAAUAUUAGUUUGGAGAAUAUAAUGCUAAAUGAUCAUGUUUAAUGAAUUGCUUACUGAAAAAAUUGCUUAUUACCAUACUAGUGUUUUGGUAAGUUUCUGUUUUGUGUACUGAUUCAUAGUUUAGAAUCAGUUGCUUUGUUUGGAAACAUUUGUUUCUAUAAUAGUUGUAAUAAUUUUUGGAAAAUAUGGUCUUCGUGAAUCUAUCUUACUAGCCUACUAUACUCUGAGUUGGUAAUGACAAUUGUGGAAAUAAUGGGAUAACUAGGGUAGUAACAGUCAGGAACUGCACAUUUCAUAUCACUUUUCUAUCGGAUUCCCAAUCAAUAUGAUCUGUCUAUGAAUUUAUGUUACAUGGACUCAGAUAAGUGUGGAGGGUAUAGGGAUGGGUUUUAUUUAUUCUUUAUUAUUAUUAUUAUUUCCUAAUUCUAAGUAAUAGAAAGUAUCGCAUUUUAUACGCAUUUUUCUAAGCAUUAGCUUGACUUAUACCCAACCACGGCAAAUUGUAUUGUUGUUUAACAAUAGCAAAAACCCCAAAAUGCAUUUUCAAGCGGCAUACGUAGCUCAAUUGUUCAUGUUGUAUAUAGCCAAUCAAAAUAAUAAUAAUAUUGAUAAUGUCUAUUUUGAGAUGAUUUUGUGGUUCAUAUAUAUAUAUAUAUAUAUAUGGUGUGUAUUUGUGUAUUUUUGCCUAACCUUUCAGCUGCAAUGGCAUAGAUUUGUUGAUCUGUUCCUUGAUGGCUCUGUUCUGGAGGCAUAUGUUCAAUACCCCAAAGAUUUAGGGGCUUAUUAUUAACUAGAGUUACUGUUCUUGCUACUCUGGUUUCCUCUUCUUUUGUAAAUUUCUAUUGUAAGAUUAAUUUUCUUUUCUAUAGUAGCUAUGUGCUCCAUUUGGUUGCCUAGAAAUUGCAAGAAAUUAAAGUUUAUGCUAAUGUUAAAUCUAUUCAGAAUUGGUGUGGCUCUAUUUUAGAUUCCUUUCAGUAUACAAGCUUUCCAAGUCUUCUAGGCAACCAUAAGGGUCGGAUGGAUCAUUUGUUGCAAGUUUGUGGCUUGAUGUCAACGUAUAUCCAUCAUGUUUCUCAUAAGUUGAUCCAUAUACAGCAUUAGUUUGAUUGUAUUGGAUCUAGUGAAUUCAUCAAUGGUGUAUUGGAUUUAGUAAUUCAUCAAUGGUGGUCUUGGCAAAGGACCUUUGCUGUAUCAAGAGAGGAAUUUUGUCACUAGGGUUAUAUUUUAUUACUAAGUAUGAUUGUAAUUUACGCUAUCGAUAAAGAGAACCCUAUUUGUGUCAGCAUCAUUUUGAACUAUCGAUAAAGAUGCCAAAUGUGCCAGCGUCAUAGGUUGAAAGGCAGUGUUAAUGAUAUGUCUUGCAAACUUUUUAAACUUGAUUCUACUAAUAGGUUGAAAGGCUGUGACGGAAUAAAUAAAUCAUAAAAAUACAAAAAAUAUUUUAUUCAAAUAAGUCAUAAAAAUACCAAAAAAAAAAAGUUCAUUAGAAUGUUUCAAGACUUCAUGAAAAUUUAAGUACAUACUUGAUUGAAAAAUGAAAUGAAAGAACAUAUAAAAAUAAGAUUAUAUAUUUAUUUUUUUGCCUUUGGUUUUCAUGAUUUAUUCUCUUCAUAUCUAUUUUUCAUGAUUAAAGAAAAGAAUAGUUUCUUAAAAAAAAUAAUAAUAAUAAUAAAACACAAAACAAAAGAAAACAUUUUUUAGAAAUGGAAAUUACUAAUUAUUUCUUCUCUCUCCCUUCUUUAUGAAAAAAAAAAAAAAAACGUAACCUAUUUGAAUUACUUUUGAAUGAGAAAGUCAAUAAAAUUAUUUAUUUAUUUAUUUGCCUUUGGAUUUCAUGAUUUAUUCUCUUCAUAUCUAUUUUUCAUGAUUAAAGAAAAAAAUAGUUUCUUCAAAAAAAAAAAUAAUAAUAAUAAAAUACAAAACAAAAGAAAACAUUUUUUAGAAAUGGAAAUUACUAAUUAUUUCUUCUCUCUCCCCUCUUUAAAAAAAAAAAAAACAAUUGUAACCUAUUUGAAUAACUUUUGAAUGGGAAAAUCAAUAAAAUUAUUUAUUUAUUUUUUUGCCUUUGGUUUUCAAGAUUUAUUCUCUUCAUAUCUAUUUUUCACGAGUAAAGAUGUUUCUUCAAAAAAAAAUAAUAAUAAUAAAACACAAAACAAAAGAAAACAUUUUUUAGAAAUGGAAAUUACUAAUUAUUUCUUCUCCCUCUCCCCUCUUCAAAAAAAAAACGAACAAGUGUAACCUAUUUGAAUUACUUUUGAACGAGGAAAUCAAUCCUGAUCACUACUGUCUUUCUCGUGCAACUCGUUGGGGAGCUUAUAACCGUCUUUUAGAACAUGUGUUCCCGCAGGACAGGUUGAUUGAAGGCCGCCCAAUUUAGGUCUAAAAAGGACAAAAAUCCUUUGUAGGUAAAUGUCGGAUCACGUUGAUUUUCGCUUCGACAUUUACAAUAAAAGAGUAAACAACAUAAAUUAUUGUGGUUGAUUAUUAAGUUUAUUUUCAUUAAAAAAAAGUUUUUUCAAUAAAAUUUUUAUUUUUGUGGUAUAAUUUUCUCUUCAACAUUUUCAAUAAAGGAAUAAACAACAUAAAUUAUUGUGGUUGAUUAUCAAGUUUAUUUUCAUUUGAAAAAAAGCUUUUUCAAUUAAAUUUCGUUUCUACAUUUUCAAUAAAGGAGUAAACAACAUAAAUUAUUGUGGUUAAUUAUUAAGUUUAGGGCAAAUUGCAAAAAAAACUCUCUUUGACUAUUACUCAUUUGCAAUAAAUCUCAUUGUCAAUGUUUUUGGCAAGAACUCCUCAAUUACGAAGAGGGGAUGAUUUAACUUAAUUUCGUCUGCCAAUCUUGCGAGGUAAUUUUUUUUUUAUAAAAUUAUAAUGGAAGUAUGUAUUUAGCUUAUUUCGAAUUUUCAAAUUACACACUUUUUUGAAACGUGAGGAGUGAUUUAACAUUCACUAGGGGAAUUUCUUACAAAUGAGUGAUAGUCAAGGGAUUUUUUUUGUAAUUCGCCCUUAAGUUUAUUUUCUUUUAAAAAAAGUUUUUUCAAUUAAAUUUCUAUUUUUGUGCUAUAAAUUUCUAUUUAUUUGGAGAGGGAAAUAUUGAUUUAUAUUUCAUAUGGUAGGAAAUAAUUUAUAUUAUUUGGUACAAGAGAAAUUAUAAAGAAGUGUUGAAAGUGAGAAUAAAGGAAAAAUAUAAAUACAGUAUAUUAUUUAAGAUGCUUGAUUUUGUCUUAAAAUAGUGAUAAAGAAUAUAUAUUUUUUCUAUUUCCGAAGUGUCAGCAUUAGUUUGACGCGUACCGCUACUAGACGGCAUUUUCGGUCAACAAUUGCAAAACCCUAGAAUGAAUUUUUAAGUCGCAGACACACACCUAAACACCUAAGUUGUUCCGUCUAUAUAUAUAGCGAACCAAAUGAUACUCGUAAAUCUCUCUCGUGGGUGAAGUGAUGAGCAACUUCAAACAGGCAUAUAUUAGUCUCUGUUGAUGGUAGUUCGUGAUGAUGUGAGAAGAUCAUUCCACGUCUGUUGGGGAUGCUGAGAUCAGAGGUUGAGUAGAGUUCCUAGCUAGCACAAGGGACUCUCCGUAGAGGAGCUUGAGAGAGAGAAGGCAGAUUUGUUUAACACCCUAUGGUAGCUCGAGCCCUAGAGGACCAUUCUCAAUGGUUAUGGUUGUGCAUAUGUAUAUUUUUCAACUUCUCUAAAUGGUGAGAGUUAAGCUCUAUUUAUACUACUUUUAUUUGGGUAAGGACCCUUGGUCAUAAGAGCCAACGCUCUCUUUACCCAAUGGUCGCUUUACCUAGGUAAGGACCCCUUGGUAAUGAGGGUAGCUCAGUCUUUAUCCAAUGGUCAUUCUAUGAGAUAUAUAUUUAAUGUAUUAUGUGGUCUCUACUACCCGAGCUGAACUAUUAGGUAUUAAACAUUCUCUUCCCCUUGUGUAGACCUCGAAAUGAGGCGAUUCCAUGGAACUCAGCCACCUAACCACUGAUACUCAGAUUCCCGCAACUGAAGAUAGGGAAAGAGCCUUCCUCAGGGUUCCUCCUUCUCGGCCCCGCGGGCUCUAUCAUAUCCUGGAUCUGUGCCUCGAUGUCCCUAGAGUUAAAAGGGAGCUUGAGAAGAGAAAAAUACCCGAGGUUAUGCCUGCAGGAAGCAAACUCGGAAAUGAAGGGAGGAGGGGUCCAUCCGACUGGAGCGGGGCGCCUCCACAGGGGAGGAAGGGUAGCGACCCCUUCCUCGGUUAGUAAAUUCAGUUGUAGAACGAGUAGCUCGAGGAUACUUGGUCCUUUCAGGAGCCCUAUUAGCCAAGUGUGCUUAUUUUCAGAGAUGGUGUCACUCGAGCAGACGUCGUGGCACGUAUAUCAACAGGCUCAUGCAAAGUCUUGGGGCUUUAAUCUUAUCUGGAGUUUGUGACCUUCCUUUUGUGGCUCCCCUUUGUUAAGUUUUUUUUAAUAGAUGUAUGUUUCUCUUCUUUUUUUUUUCUUUUUUUUUGUCUUUAUUAGAAAAAUUAUUUAUAAUUUUUAGUUAAAACAUUUCUA
Molecule: long non-coding RNA, 8026 nt
Organism: Cornus florida
Lineage: Eukaryota; Viridiplantae; Streptophyta; Magnoliopsida; Cornales; Cornaceae
Exons: 2
Source: RefSeq, a predicted model, not a curated record